GGAUUAGAUACCCUGGUAGUCCACGCCGUAAACGAUGAUUACUCGUUGUUGGCAAUACAUCGUCAGCGACUGAGCGAAAGCAUUAAGUAAUCCACCUGGGGAGUACGUUCGCAAGAAUGAAACUCAAAGGAAUUGACGGGGGCCCGCACAAGCGGAGGAACAUGUGGUUUAAUUCGAUGAUACGCGAGGAACCUUACCUGGGCUUAAAUGCAUAACGACAGACCGGGAAACUGGUCUUUCUUCGGACGGAAUGCAAGGUGCUGCAUGGUUGUCGUCAGCUCGUGCUG
RNAcentral lists this ribosomal RNA (287 nucleotides) under uncultured bacterium. RNAcentral describes it as "partial 16S ribosomal RNA". It matches the Rfam family "Bacterial small subunit ribosomal RNA", at positions 775 to 1067 of the family's 1533-position model. The record is from RNAcentral.